UUAUGAGUAAUGGCUCAGAUGUCUGGAGCUAAGUAAGAGAUUAUCAAACUCAUUGCAGUAGAGUUAAAAAAGAAAAUGAUCCAGCCCACACAAAUCAGAAUCUGACCUGAUCUUGUCUCCUGGUGGCAUGUAUUGGGGAUAAUCCACCUCGUUGUUACAGUCUUCAUGAAAAUAUUGCUUCUGAUUGGGCAGACUCAGGACAAUGGCCAACCUGAUUAUGAUGUCACUGGUCUGCUCCUUGUCUGUCUACAGGGGUGGAUCAGAUUGCCCAUUGGCUCUUCUGACUGGAAUAGGAGCCGUCAUAAUGCACAGCGGGUGGGUUACCAAGGAGGCGGGCUUAUGAAGAUGAGUUCCAGAAUCUUGUCAAUUGGAGGGUCAGCUGGUCUCUUUUAUUUCUGAUCUGGAUUAGCUCUGGCACAUUUAGCCACUGGUGCUAGUGGUGGGGCUGGCUUUUCCUUCCCCAUCUUCCCCUGGAUUAUUGAGUUUGGGCAGGGCAUUUACAAAGAAGAAAGAAAGAAAGAAAGAAAGAAAGAAAGAAAGAAAGAAAGAAAGAAAGAAAGAAAGAAAGAGGCUUAUUCCUUAAAUGUUGCAGCAUUACAAAAGCUUCCUCUUGCAAGCUGAGCUUCAGAAUGUAGUGGAAAAUUCAGGGCAAAGCUGUGAGGAGGUAUGUGGCAGUGAGAGAAAGGAUCAAGAAGGUGAUUCUUCUGAGCUCCAGGUGAAGAUUGCAGAACUAGAACAAAUGCUGGACACCUUGAAUGAAGACUUCUUCCAGCUCACGGUGCAGAUUUGGACAAUCCAGAAAGAGGAGGACCAGCUGAAUCAGGAGCUCAGAACACAACAGGAGUUGAUCUCCUUUGGUGUAGGUGCAUUUCAUCCCUUCACUGCCUGGGAACAGCCUCGGUAUUUGCAUUGGGGGUACAGACAAACAUAUGGGCACAGCAUGACCCCACACAGAGAGAGUGUUGUAACCCCAACUCUUUACAGCAGCACCAUGAGGACAGACAUUGCAUUUCAGAAGACUUGUCCUGUUCAAACUCAGUUCACACUUAAUGUGGCCUGUAAGCAUGGUUGCUUCCAGGACAACACUUUCUGCAAUAUUAAACACUGUAAAGUUAAGAAACAUGCAGUUGGAUACCUGCCUCCAUGGGAGAUUGGUUCCAAGCCACCCCCAUCCAUGGAUGCUGAAAACGUGGAUGACAGUGAAAACUAUUUUAAUAGCAAAUGCUAUACAUCACACAGCUUCUGA
Molecule: long non-coding RNA, 1246 nt
Filed under: Pogona vitticeps (central bearded dragon)
Lineage: Eukaryota; Metazoa; Chordata; Lepidosauria; Squamata; Agamidae
Description: lncRNA (ENSPVIG00000025099.1)
Source: RNAcentral